RNAcentral lists this ribosomal RNA (447 nucleotides) under uncultured bacterium. Its description in RNAcentral is "bacterial SSU rRNA". It matches the Rfam family "Bacterial small subunit ribosomal RNA", at positions 355 to 825 of the family's 1533-position model. The record is from RNAcentral.
UGGGGAAUAUUGGACAAUGGGCGAAAGCCUGAUCCAGCCAUGCCGCGUGAAUGAUGAAGGUCUUAGGAUUGUAAAAUUCUUUCACCGGGGACGAUAAUGACGGUACCCGGAGAAGAAGCCCCGGCUAACUUCGUGCCAGCAGCCGCGGUAAUACGAAGGGGGCUAGCGUUGCUCGGAAUUACUGGGCGUAAAGGGAGCGUAGGCGGAUAGUUCAGUCAGAGGUGAAAGCCCAGGGCUCAACCUUGGAACUGCCUUUGAUACUGGCUAUCUUGAGUUUGGGAGAGGUGUGUGGAACUCCGAGUGUAGAGGUGAAAUUCGUAGAUAUUCGGAAGAACACCAGUGGCGAAGGCGACCACCUGGACUGAUACUGACACUGAGGUGCGAAAGCGUGGGGAGCAAACAGGAUUAGAUACCCCCGUAGUCCCUGAGCGGGCUGGCAAGGCGCAU